Molecule: long non-coding RNA, 2681 nt
Organism: Panicum virgatum (switchgrass)
Lineage: Eukaryota; Viridiplantae; Streptophyta; Magnoliopsida; Poales; Poaceae
Exons: 3
Source: RefSeq, a predicted model, not a curated record
GUGUCCGCCCCACUCCUCCCGACGGUUCCAUGACCCUUCCUCCGCUCCCGCUCCGUCCCCACUCCUCCCCGACGGUUCCAUAACGAGCUCGAGCGCCGAGCGCUCCGGCCUCGUCCGCGCCUCGCUCCAGCUCCGACCUCCUCCGCGUCUCUCCAGCUCUGACCUCCUCCGCGCCUCUCCAGCUCCGGCCUCCCCCUCACGCACUGUGCCUCUCCGCCGCGACGGAGCCCGAGGUCGAGCUCUGCCCCACCUCCGACCUCUCCCGCGCGUCGUGCCUCUCCGCCACGCCUCUCCAGAUCCAGCCUCCAUCUCGCGCCGCUGUGCCUCUCCACAACGCUUGCCCGACGGUUCCUCACCGACGAUCUGCUCAGGUCGCGCCCCCUCUCGCGCGGCAGCUCCUCGCCCCCCCCCCCCCCCCCCCCCCCAUAAUAGGCGCUAGCCUCCUCCAGCCCCUCUCCGCGCUGGCUCCCCUCGCAUUCGGCCUGCUCUCCGCGCGUCGUCAGCCUCGACCCGUUCGGCCUAUGAGAUCCGACCGCCUCGACGUCUGCUGGGCACCACGAGCACCACUGUGUCGAGCCGCACCUCCACCACCUCCUCAAGUCGCUGAAGCCCCGCCGGAGGAGCGCCCCCACGAACAGCAACUCCGGCCGUCGGGCACCACGAAAUUCCGGCCGUUCCCAUGGUCCUCCACUGUCGGUGCGGCAUCCUCGGAUCCACCCUCGCCCUCGAGGCCGAUACGGCAGCAGCCCAGGUGCCGAGGCGUCGUCGCAGGCGGCAUGCUGAACAGAGCCGCCUAGGCAGAGCCGCGGCCGGUGAAGACGGUGGCCUGCACGGCGGCAAGCGACGCCAGCACACCAUCGCCGGGUCUGCAAUGACACAUUUCUCCCCGACGAGCACGCCAACUACGCUGCCCUGCCCCUCUGCGCCCUGCAACACAGACCCAGGCACUGUGUAGGAGCUCGUCACCACGUCGCCCACCAAGCGCUCGACAGAUUGCCUCAGCCAGGUGAUCAGUUGCAGUGUGAAGGCUACAAUUGAGAGGUACAAGCUAAGAAGGCACAUGCCGUUGGAUCGUCGUCAUCUGGAGCCCCAUUCUUAGAGCUCAACGCCCAGGUAAUAAUUCUCACAGUUAAACAAAUAUGGUGCUUAUUUUAUGAGUUGCAUACACUAAAGUCAAUGCAACCACAUGUAUUUCUCCACCUUCAAACAUUCUAAGUAACCUGGACUAUAUGGCGGAGCUAUAAUCUAUUUUGUAAGUAUAAGAUCCUUUAAACUAAUUUACGGGUCCUGACUAUAUGGCGGAGCUAUAUCUUGAGCCUACUGUUUUUAAACAUUUAUGGAUUUAGCCAUUACAGAGUGAAUAUAUGUCUUGCUAUAGAACGUGCUACUCCAGUCAUGCUGUAUUGAGUUCAUUGUCCUUGCAGCAAAAUGUACUGUAACUCGCAAAAUAUUUGAAAAACCUUCAGUCUUGGUAAAGAUCACAUCAAUUUCAGUUCUCUGUAACUUGUUUAGGCACUUUCCAGAUAGCCUUGCACACUGGUAGCCAUGGCUUGUGUUCUGCUAGAAUGUUGCUUUGCUAAUCUUGUCUUGGUGAUCCAAGUUAAAUCUUGCUUCGUUAGACACAGCAUCUCUCUGUAUUAUGUGGUGCCAUUUAUUAUUAGGUUCUCUUCUCGGAUGUUAAUUGUCAUGAACUUUUCUGUUAUGAAAACUUCAACUCAUAUAGUGACAUGAUUUCUUAUCAAGUAUAGCAAACAAAGUUCAGUAGUUGAGACCUUAAUGAUCAGAAUGUUCAGAAAGCUUACCUUGUUACUCCAAUCACCAUAAGCUCUGGAUCAGGCAUCAUCAAUCAUAAAAGAUAUAAUUGUUUUCAUUAUAUUAGAGUAUUCAAAGCAACUGAAUUUGAAAUCUUGGACAUAAUGAUACAACUUACAUGCAUAACCUAUUCAUUUGAUGUGAUAGACCAUGACUAAAUAUUAUUUUUAUUCAAAAAAGCAUGUUGUUUGUGCUGAAUUAUUUGAUUCAUGGCUUAUCUGAUUUGUUUGACUCGUGGCUUAUGCUGGUUGCAGCUUGAUGAAUUGUCAUGGUUUAAGUGUUCCUUUGAUAUUUGCCACAAUAUGCAUAAUUUCUAUGAAAAUGACUGGUGUAUGACAUUUGCAACUCUUGGGAAGGGCUGACCCAUCACAUCAUAACCAGAUAUUGGAGGAGCAGCUACUGUAAGUUUACUCCAUGAUUGUUUUGUGAAUAAUACUAAGAAUGCUAGGCAACUAAGUCAACGACGUAGGGACACUUUUCUUUUUGUUCUGAAAGAUGCUUUCCUUAUGUUUCAUUGAUACAUAUGCGAUAAUGAUACAUGACAAAAUGAGGACACCUUUCAACUGAUCUUCUCAUUUGCUGCCUCCUUCGGCUGCAUGCCCCCCCUAGGUUUCUGCUCUUGAGAAUAGUUCAUGCAACCCCCAGGACGAUCGCGCGGGAGGGAGGCUCAGUGUUGCAAUGACGCACCAUCGCCUUCUUGCACUUUUUAGUAGUAGAGAAUCCUCAUAUAGUUUAAUAUGUGAUGUAUCUCCAAUUUUUAUUGUAAAGAAACUUUGCAUAAAUUUUUGGGUUGUCAAUUUCUUUGAAGACACUAAUUUUUUGUGCAACCCAUCAAAAUAAACACCUGCAUAGUACAUAUUUAAGAGCAA